Molecule: ribosomal RNA, 706 nt
Filed under: uncultured Enterobacterales bacterium
Lineage: Bacteria; Pseudomonadati; Pseudomonadota; Gammaproteobacteria; Enterobacterales
Description: bacterial SSU rRNA
Rfam family: Bacterial small subunit ribosomal RNA
Source: RNAcentral
GGUAACAGAAAGCAGCUUGCUGCUUUGCUGACGAGUGGCGGACGGGUGAGUAAUGUCUGGGAAACUGCCCGAUGGAGGGGGAUAACUACUGGAAACGGUAGCUAAUACCGCAUAACGUCGCAAGACCAAAGAGGGGGACCUUCGGGCCUCUUGCCAUCGGAUGUGCCCAGAUGGGAUUAGCUAGUAGGUGGGGUAAAGGCUCACCUAGGCGACGAUCCCUAGCUGGUCUGAGAGGAUGACCAGCCACACUGGAACUGAGACACGGUCCAGACUCCUACGGGAGGCAGCAGUGGGGAAUAUUGCACAAUGGGCGCAAGCCUGAUGCAGCCAUGCCGCGUGUAUGAAGAAGGCCUUCGGGUUGUAAAGUACUUUCAGCGGGGAGGAAGGGAGUAAAGUUAAUACCUUUGCUCAUUGACGUUACCCGCAGAAGAAGCACCGGCUAACUCCGUGCCAGCAGCCGCGGUAAUACGGAGGGUGCAAGCGUUAAUCGGAAUUACUGGGCGUAAAGCGCACGCAGGCGGUUUGUUAAGUCAGAUGUGAAAUCCCCGGGCUCAACCUGGGAACUGCAUCUGAUACUGGCAAGCUUGAGUCUCGUAGAGGGGGGUAGAAUUCCAGGUGUAGCGGUGAAAUGCGUAGAGAUCUGGAGGAAUACCGGUGGCGAAGGCGGCCCCCUGGACGAAGACUGACGCUCAGGUGCGAAAGCGUG